AUUGAACGCUGGCGGCAGGCCUAACACAUGCAAGUCGAACGGUAGCACAGAGAGCUUGCUCUUGGGUGACGAGUGGCGGACGGGUGAGUAAUGUCUGGGAAACUGCCCGAUGGAGGGGGAUAACUACUGGAAACGGUAGCUAAUACCGCAUAACGUCUUCGGACCAAAGUGGGGGACCUUCGGGCCUCACACCAUCGGAUGUGCCCAGAUGGGAUUAGCUAGUAGGUGGGGUAAAGGCUCAACUAGGGGACGAUCCCUAGCUGGUCUGAGAGGAUGACCAGCCACACUGGAACUGAGAAACGGUCCAGACUCCUACGGGAGGCAGCAGUGGGGAAUAUUGCACAAUGGGCGCAAGCCUGAUGCAGCCAUGCCGCGUGUAUGAAGAAGGCCUUCGGGUUGUAAAGUACUUUCAGCGGGGAGGAAGGCGUUAAGGUUAAUAACCUUGGCGAUUGACGUUACCCGCAGAAGAAGCACCGGCUAACUCCGUGCCAGCCGCCGCGGUAA
This 504-nucleotide ribosomal RNA is filed under the name uncultured bacterium. Its description in RNAcentral is "partial 16S ribosomal RNA". It matches the Rfam family "Bacterial small subunit ribosomal RNA", at positions 30 to 523 of the family's 1533-position model. The record is from RNAcentral.